CCUACGGGAGGCAGCAGUAGGGAAUAUUGCUCAAUGGGGGAAACCCUGAAGCAGCAACGCCGCGUGGAGGAUGAAGGUUUUCGGAUUGUAAACCCCUUUUGUUAGAGAAGAUAAUGACGGAAUCUUACGACUAAGCACCUGCUAACUCCGUGCCAGCAGCCGAGGUAAUACGGAGGGUGCACGCGUUACCCGGAAUCACUGGGCGUAAAGGGCGCGUAGGCGGGAUAGCAAGUCAGAUGUGAAAUCCUAUGGCUUAACCAUAGAACUGCAUUUGAAACUGUUAUUCUAGAGUAUGGGAGAGGUAGGUGGAAUUCUUGGUGUAGGGGUAAAAUCCGUAGAGAUCAAGAGGAAUACUCAUUGCGAAGGCGACCUGCUAGAACAUAACUGACGCUGAUGCGCGAAAGCGUGGGGAGCAAACAGGAUUAGAUACCCGGGUAGUC
RNAcentral lists this ribosomal RNA (440 nucleotides) under uncultured bacterium. RNAcentral describes it as "partial 16S ribosomal RNA". It matches the Rfam family "Bacterial small subunit ribosomal RNA", at positions 338 to 795 of the family's 1533-position model. The record is from RNAcentral.